RNAcentral lists this ribosomal RNA (1314 nucleotides) under Chryseobacterium cucumeris. RNAcentral describes it as "bacterial SSU rRNA". It matches the Rfam family "Bacterial small subunit ribosomal RNA", at positions 16 to 1336 of the family's 1533-position model. The record is from RNAcentral. Lineage: Bacteria; Pseudomonadati; Bacteroidota; Flavobacteriia; Flavobacteriales; Weeksellaceae.
AUCCUGGCUCAGGAUGAACGCUAGCGGGAGGCCUAACACAUGCAAGCCGAGCGGUAGAGAUCUUUCGGGAUCUUGAGAGCGGCGUACGGGUGCGGAACACGUGUGCAACCUGCCUUUAUCUGGGGGAUAGCCUUUCGAAAGGAAGAUUAAUACCCCAUAAUAUACUGGAUGGCAUCAUUCGGUAUUGAAAACUCCGGUGGAUAGAGAUGGGCACGCGCAAGAUUAGAUAGUUGGUGAGGUAACGGCUCACCAAGUCUGCGAUCUUUAGGGGGCCUGAGAGGGUGAUCCCCCACACUGGUACUGAGACACGGACCAGACUCCUACGGGAGGCAGCAGUGAGGAAUAUUGGACAAUGGGUGAGAGCCUGAUCCAGCCAUCCCGCGUGAAGGACGACGGCCCUAUGGGUUGUAAACUUCUUUUGUAUAGGGAUAAACCUACCCUCGUGAGGGUAGCUGAAGGUACUAUACGAAUAAGCACCGGCUAACUCCGUGCCAGCAGCCGCGGUAAUACGGAGGGUGCAAGCGUUAUCCGGAUUUAUUGGGUUUAAAGGGUCCGUAGGCGGAUCUGUAAGUCAGUGGUGAAAUCUCACAGCUUAACUGUGAAACUGCCAUUGAUACUGCAGGUCUUGAGUGUUGUUGAAGUAGCUGGAAUAAGUAGUGUAGCGGUGAAAUGCAUAGAUAUUACUUAGAACACCAAUUGCGAAGGCAGGUUACUAAGCAACAACUGACGCUGAUGGACGAAAGCGUGGGGAGCGAACAGGAUUAGAUACCCUGGUAGUCCACGCCGUAAACGAUGCUAACUCGUUUUUGGAAUGUAAGUUUCAGAGACUAAGCGAAAGUGAUAAGUUAGCCACCUGGGGAGUACGAACGCAAGUUUGAAACUCAAAGGAAUUGACGGGGGCCCGCACAAGCGGUGGAUUAUGUGGUUUAAUUCGAUGAUACGCGAGGAACCUUACCAAGGCUUAAAUGGGAAAUGACAAGUUUAGAAAUAGACUUUUCUUCGGACAUUUUUCAAGGUGCUGCAUGGUUGUCGUCAGCUCGUGCCGUGAGGUGUUAGGUUAAGUCCUGCAACGAGCGCAACCCCUGUCACUAGUUGCCAUCAUUCAGUUGGGGACUCUAGUGAGACUGCCUACGCAAGUAGAGAGGAAGGUGGGGAUGACGUCAAAUCAUCACGGCCCUUACGCCUUGGGCCACACACGUAAUACAAUGGCCGGUACAGAGGGCAGCUACACUGCGAAGUGAUGCAAAUCUCGAAAGCCGGUCUCAGUUCGGAUUGGAGUCUGCAACUCGACUCUAUGAACGCCGGCAAUCUGCU